UACGGGGGGGGCAAGCGUUGUUCGGAAUUACUGGGCGUAAAGAGCGUGUAGGCGGCCAAGUAAGUCUGCUGUGAAAACUCGAGGCUUAACCUCGAGCUGUCGGCGGAAACUAUUUGGCUAGAGUCCGGAAGAGGAGAAUGGAAUUCCCGGUGUAGCGGUGAAAUGCGCAGAUAUCGGGAAGAACACCCGUGGCGAAGGCGGCUCUCUGGGACGGUACUGACGCUGAGACGCGAAAGCGUGGGGAGCGAACAGG
Molecule: ribosomal RNA, 253 nt
Filed under: uncultured bacterium
Lineage: Bacteria
Description: partial 16S ribosomal RNA
Rfam family: Bacterial small subunit ribosomal RNA
Source: RNAcentral